GAUGAACGCUAGCGGCAGGCCUAACACAUGCCAGUCGAGGGAGAGGUUACCUUCGGGUACCCCAAACCGGCGCACGGGUGCGUAACGCGUAUACAAUCUGCCUUUCACAUAGGGAUAGCCCGAAGAAAUUUGGAUUAAUACCUAAUGGUAUAUAAGCGCGGCAUCGUUUUUAUAUUAAAGCUACGGUGGUGAAAGAUGAGUAUGCGUUCUAUUAGCUAGUUGGAGAGGUGACGGCUCCCCAAGGCGACGAUAGAUAGGGGUUCUGAGAGGGAUGUCCCCCACACUGGUACUGAGAUACGGACCAGACUCCUACGGGAGGCAGCAGUGAGGAAUAUUGGACAAUGGUCGGAAGACUGAUCCAGCCAUGCCGCGUGCAGGAUGAAGGUCCUAUGGAUUGUAAACUGCUUUGGAAAGGGAAGAAUAAGGAGUACGUGUACUUUGAUGACGGUACCUAACGAAUAAGCAUCGGCUAACUCCGUG
Molecule: ribosomal RNA, 480 nt
Filed under: uncultured bacterium
Lineage: Bacteria
Description: partial 16S ribosomal RNA
Rfam family: Bacterial small subunit ribosomal RNA
Source: RNAcentral